RNAcentral lists this unclassified non-coding RNA (307 nucleotides) under Hevea brasiliensis (rubber tree). Lineage: Eukaryota; Viridiplantae; Streptophyta; Magnoliopsida; Malpighiales; Euphorbiaceae. The record is from RNAcentral.
UAUUUGCAAGGUUAGAGUUGUGAUCCUCUUGUUGUGGCUUAUCUUGGUUUGGCAAGUUGAGGCAUUGGCAAAAGAUCUCCUUUCUAGCUUUCAGUGGGUUUUCCAAUCAAGCUUCUGAAAACAACGCUUUUUCUGGUGUUGAUCCUGAGUUCUGCUUGGGCGGUUUUGGUCUAAGGGUUGGCUGGAUGGGACUACAGACUUGUUACUGGGAAUGAUUACUUGGAUUAAGAAAUUUGCUUUCUUUUCCGAUCUCAGAUGUAAUCUUGUGUAUCUUUGCCCAAUGGGCUUUAAUGCAUAUUAUCAUUGC